RNAcentral lists this unclassified non-coding RNA (254 nucleotides) under Glomeraceae sp. RNAcentral describes it as "partial contains 5.8S ribosomal RNA and internal transcribed spacer 2". The stretch from base 1 to 65 matches the Rfam family "5.8S ribosomal RNA", at positions 84 to 154 of the family's 154-position model. The record is from RNAcentral. Lineage: Eukaryota; Fungi; Glomeromycota; Glomeromycetes; Glomerales; Glomeraceae.
GUGAAUCAUCAAAUUUUUGAACGCAAAUUGCACUCUCCUCGGAGAGUAUGCCUGUUUGAGGGUCAGCCUAUAAAAAAUCGACAUCGUUGCUGUUUCGCGGUGGCGUUCGUCGGAAAUUGGGUCAUCUUAAAUCUUUUGGUUUUAAGCGACUUAAAAUUUUCUUUUUGGUUCCAGGAACGUUUCUAAGUUUUAUUUCUUUAAUCGUUUAAGGUAUCGAUUUUUUUUAGACUGGACCAUCAUAUGGGAUCGUGCCC